GAACGAUGAAGUUCCUUCGGGAAUGGAUUAGUGGCGAACGGGUGAGGAACACGUGAGAAACCUGCCUUUCAUUCUGGGAUAACACCGGGAAACCGGUGCUAAUACCGGAUACUCCAUCUUGGCGGCAUCGCCGAGCUGGGAAAAAUUUUGAUGAAAGAUGGUCUCGCGGCCUAUCAGCUAGUUGGUGAGGUAAAGGCUCACCAAGGCGACGACGGGUAGCCGGCCUGAGAGGGCGACCGGCCACACUGGGACUGAGACACGGCCCAGACUCC
RNAcentral lists this ribosomal RNA (272 nucleotides) under uncultured bacterium. RNAcentral describes it as "partial 16S ribosomal RNA". It matches the Rfam family "Bacterial small subunit ribosomal RNA", at positions 64 to 339 of the family's 1533-position model. The record is from RNAcentral.